RNAcentral lists this long non-coding RNA (315 nucleotides) under Heterocephalus glaber (naked mole-rat). RNAcentral's name for it is "lncRNA (ENSHGLG00100052295.1)". The record is from RNAcentral. Lineage: Eukaryota; Metazoa; Chordata; Mammalia; Rodentia; Bathyergidae.
CCUGGCUACAGCGGCAUCCACGUGGAGAAGGUGGCGGCUAAUGCCCAAGACCCAGGUGAGGCCUUUUCCUCUCAGAGGAGGGCCAGGUAAGAGGCCAAAAUUUGUAAGCCCCAGGGAAAGGAGAACUCACGUAUGGGCUGCUGCCAACUUCCCCCAACAGGCUACCCCGUAAUGCACCUAGUAACCUCGGGAUGAUCUCCACAGACCAGGAAGAAGGCUGUUUUAAACGUGAUACCCAGAAGAACUGGGGACCAAACCCAGAGCCUCCCAUGAGCUAAGUAAAGUACUGGACCACUAUGCUACAUCCCCAGUCUU